RNAcentral lists this long non-coding RNA (1788 nucleotides) under Homo sapiens (human). RNAcentral describes it as "non-protein coding lnc-ADGRB3-8:1". The record is from RNAcentral. Lineage: Eukaryota; Metazoa; Chordata; Mammalia; Primates; Hominidae.
AAUGGUGGAAGAUAAAACAUUUAUUUUCACAUUUUCAAAAUGAAGUAUCUUGAGCUUGGCUUGUCUGCUUUCUGUCUUCAGAGGUAGUGAAAUGCAAUCACUCCAGAAACUACAUGACAAAGGCUGAGCUAUUUAACUUCAGGUUUUCAGGUACCACAGAUAAAUGCAGACUUAAAACUCAUUGCUUUACAAGACACUUAAUAAGAGAAAAAUUUCCCCAUCUUGUAAGAUUUGGAAAAGCUGUCUUCCUUUGCCUAAUGGAGAUUCCUAAUGUAGGACAUCAAGACUCUGAGAAGUAAUACAGUAAGAGAACCAUUACAACUUUUUGGGACCCAGAAUGCCAAAAUAUACCAAAUGCUUUGGUAAUGUAGACCCUUUUCAUGAAACAACUAUGGAUAUUCCACGAACUUAGUAUGUCUUUUUGUACAGAUUAGAAAGAGUUAGUAUAGAACAAUGUAAACAUACACAAAAGAUGACUUGUAAUGUUUUAUUGUUUUUAAUUUUAAAAUUCAGAAUCUUGAUUUAUAAAAUGGUUAUCUCACACUUUUCAAAGAUUGCAUCUCACAUCUACUCACUUGACCUCAGCUCAAGACAUGCUCACUUAUUUAGUAUCAGUGACAAUACCCAUCUGUUGCAUAAUGGUUUGUGAUACAUAUCCUGAUUAUUUUCUAGAAUGCAUUUUCUCUGUUGUCUGUAUUUAGAAGUUUCUGCUUAUCAUUUCUUCAGUGAACACUUAAGUCAGUUAAAAUAAGUUCCUCUAUUGAGGGCCCCAUACAUGCCAGUAUCUGCUAGCAGGUGUAUAAAUUGGUGCACCUGUUUUAUAAAAUUGUUUGCUAAUAUCUACUAAAGCUAAACAUAUAUAAACUCAUGACCUACCAAUACUAAAAUUGAAUAUACUCUUAACAGAAAUGAGUGCCUAUGGCUCUAAAAGACAAGAAAAAGAAUAGAGCAGCAGGAACUCAGCACUAUCUGCCUGGAGAUAGAGACCUGUUUAUUGGUGGCCAUGGCCCUCAAACACCAGUAGCUUUGGCACAUAGGUCUAUCUUCUGGAAUGACCAGGCAUCCCUACAUAGGCCAGAGUCUUCCUGUACAGGCACAGGGCCCUAAGGCUGCACAGCUGCCUGUGUUCCAGUCUGCAGUUGUGUUAAAAUCAAGACAUUGAGUGUGCUUCUGCUAAGGCAGUGGUUCUCGUAAUUUUUGCAGACGUCGAUAUCACUUGAAGAGCUUGUUAAACUGCAGAUCAAUGAGUCCUGCAACCAGCAGCCCUGAUAUUUACAUUGGAGGCAUAUAUGCUGCUGGUCCAGGAGCCACACUUUGGGAAUUAUGGCAUUAAACAGUGUGGUUGCGUACUUACUGCUUACAUUUAAUUAUAAAUGGUGACCCAUCUUCCCAAUUUAGUUCCAGAAGAACAGUAUUUAUCCAUUAAAUAUUGUAGUGCAUGAUUUAUGACAGUUGUAGAAUGAACAAAUAACAUGGUUCUGUCACAAAUUCCUGCAAGCUGGUUACUGAUGUGCUUUUAGCAAUCCACUCCACCCUCCCCAUGGCUGGAGCUACCAGGCUACAUAACUCUGGCUGCAAGCACCACUUCCAUUUACCCCCUGUGCCAUAGAAAUACUGCCAUUUUCCAUGUGUGUCAUAGUGGGGAAAAUUUAGAAAGAUUGUGUUAAAUAAUCAACAUUGUUAUCUCAUCAUCACUGGUCAUUAGAGAAAUGCAAAUCAAAACCACUAUUCACAAUAGCAAAGACUUGAAACCAAACUAAAUGCCUAUCAAUGUUAGACUGGAUAAAG